Molecule: transfer RNA, 81 nt
Filed under: Ixodes scapularis (black-legged tick)
Lineage: Eukaryota; Metazoa; Arthropoda; Arachnida; Ixodida; Ixodidae
Rfam family: tRNA
About the family: Transfer RNA (tRNA) molecules are approximately 80 nucleotides in length. Their secondary structure includes four short double-helical elements and three loops (D, anti-codon, and T loops).
Source: Rfam by way of RNAcentral
GGCUGGAUGGUCUAAUCGGUUAAGGCGUCGCCCCGGAGCCCGGACAGGCGAAGGUUGCGGGUUCAAUCCCCGCUCCUGGCC